This 519-nucleotide ribosomal RNA is filed under the name uncultured eukaryote. RNAcentral describes it as "SSU rRNA". It matches the Rfam family "Eukaryotic small subunit ribosomal RNA", at positions 1161 to 1697 of the family's 1831-position model. The record is from RNAcentral.
AGGGCACCACCAGGAGUGGAGCCUGCGGCUUAAUUUGACUCAACACGGGAAAACUCACCCGGCCCGGACACUGGAAGGAUUGACAGAUUGAGAGCUCUUUCUUGAUUCAGUGGGUGGUGGUGCAUGGCCGUUCUUAGUUGGUGGAGUGAUUUGUCUGGUUAAUUCCGAUAACGAACGAGACUCUAGCCUAUUAAAUAGAUCGUUGGCUUACAAACGCCGGCGAGACUUCUUAGAGGGACAGGCGGCGAUUCAGCCGCACGAAACAGAGCUAUUUUUUGGUCUGUGAUGCCCUUAGAUGUCCGGGGCCGCACGCGCGCUACACUGAAGUGAUCAGCGUGCAUUUUGAAACCUACUCUGUCAAGAGUGGGGAACCCAAUGAACCUUCUUCGUGAUUGGGAUAGGGGAUUGUAAUUAUUCCCCUUGAACGAGGAAUUCCCAGUAAGCGCGAAUCAUAAGUUUGCGCUGAUUACGUCCCUGCCCUUUGUACACACCGCCCGUCGCUACUACCGAUUGAAUGUU